RNAcentral lists this long non-coding RNA (279 nucleotides) under Capsella grandiflora. RNAcentral's name for it is "long non-coding RNA (CGRA_LNC000447)". The record is from RNAcentral. Lineage: Eukaryota; Viridiplantae; Streptophyta; Magnoliopsida; Brassicales; Brassicaceae.
CUUUAGAUGUGAAGUCCCUGACUUGGUAGGGCAUGAUAAAUUAUGUUGGCAAUAGUGACAGAAACAAAAAUCACGAUUGUCUUUAUGUUUUGUGAAAUGAUCCCAUACAUCAGCCCUCUCGCCUUGCUCCUUUUCUUUUUUUGGCUGAGAAGUAGCUCCACUUGGAUCAUCUGGUGCUUUUUGUUUGCCAGAAUCCGCUGUUUCGUUGUCGAGUCCCUCACCAUUUGGAAAUGAUGAUGAAUCCAUCUGAAACAAAAAAAUAACCCAUUGUUAAAUAAA